CGACGAAUCGAGAAAAAUCCAUCCAACAUGGCGGCUCUUGCAAGCGAAGGGAUUCCACACAUGGUUUAACUUGGUGAAGCUGGUGCAUAGCAGUGAGACAUGGUUCAAUGGCAUGGAAGUGCAAAGUGUGUGCUGUCUCGUCAGACACCCGGGCUCAGUUAUUUAGGCACUAUUGUUUGAAGCAUAGCCAGUACUCAAUAGUUAGCCCUUUGCCAUUUGUCUAUGACUCUUGCAUUUUUUACAUUUCAAUCAUUUAUCAUUGCAGGAAGUUGAGAAAAGUGAGAAGAACCUCAUCUUGAUAGAAAAGCUCAUGCAGACGACUUUUGCCCUUCGUCGCCAGGAGAUCGUUCAGGAAAAUCCCUUGGUCGGGACUUUUUAGAGAAAUGUCCUCCGGAUGGAAUCACAGGUUUGUGCCGAGUUUCACCGAAUCACAAACGUCAACCUACAGAACCAGUUCUUUUCUGAACUAGACGGCCUGCGACUGAUUGCCUUGCACAGGCAGAAGGCGGCACGCACUGGCAAGGUAUCUGAGGCCCUGCGUGAAAUCCUAAGGGUUUGUGAUCCAGGAAGUACAGGAUGUCCACAUGAAACGCAAUGCAGCCCUUCAAGCCCUGCCGUUAUACCUGCUGCGUGAGGAGGACCCACAGUUCUUCAAGUCUUGGAGCGUGGACUCUAUGCAUUUCCAGGCAGAGGAGGUGGACCGGCCAGACAUCACCAACACACCGGUUGCUAUGGUCACCGAGGGCACUCCAAGUCAAGUUGAUCUCAGUCCGGCAAGUACUGCUAUUCUGGUGGAAGGUGAUUUCGUCAUCAGCAAUAUCCGCAGGAUGGCGGAUUCCUUUGCAUUGUUGUUCGGCUUGAUGUACGUCAGUGACCACCAACUGGCGGCCCGCGGGCCACAUCCGGCCCGCCAGACAUUCUCAUCCGGCCCACACGACGGGGGUGACUGUGGCGUUGGCGGAGUGGUUACUGCGUUCGCCCCCCACCCAUUUCUUUGUUUACAACGUCCCGUGAGUAAGGUGCAGUACCGGAGUCCAACAGAGAGGCAGCAGCUGCAGGACAGUAGACUGCGUACUGCGAAACCUUCCCUCCCUUGAAGAAGAAGUGAUCCUUCGUUGUGAAGAGUCUGGUUAAUGC
This is a long non-coding RNA of Gymnodraco acuticeps, 1137 nucleotides long. RefSeq lists it as uncharacterized. The transcript is spliced from 5 exons. The record is from RefSeq and is a predicted model, not a curated record. Lineage: Eukaryota; Metazoa; Chordata; Actinopteri; Perciformes; Bathydraconidae.